RNAcentral lists this ribosomal RNA (704 nucleotides) under Trichoderma longibrachiatum. RNAcentral describes it as "partial large subunit ribosomal RNA". It matches the Rfam family "Eukaryotic large subunit ribosomal RNA", at positions 72 to 805 of the family's 3401-position model. The record is from RNAcentral. Lineage: Eukaryota; Fungi; Ascomycota; Sordariomycetes; Hypocreales; Hypocreaceae.
GGAUUGCCCCAGUAACGGCGAGUGAAGCGGCAACAGCUCAAAUUUGAAAUCUGGCCCUUACGGGUCCGAGUUGUAAUUUGUAGAGGAUGCUUUUGGCAAGGCGCCGCCCGAGUUCCCUGGAACGGGACGCCACAGAGGGUGAGAGCCCCGUCUGGCUGGCCGCCGAGCCUCUGUAAAGCUCCUUCGACGAGUCGAGUAGUUUGGGAAUGCUGCUCAAAAUGGGAGGUAUAUGUCUUCUAAAGCUAAAUAUUGGCCAGAGACCGAUAGCGCACAAGUAGAGUGAUCGAAAGAUGAAAAGCACCUUGAAAAGAGGGUUAAAUAGUACGUGAAAUUGUUGAAAGGGAAGCGCUUGUGACCAGACUUGGGCGCGGCGGAUCAUCCGGGGUUCUCCCCGGUGCACUUCGCCGCGUCCAGGCCAGCAUCAGUUCGUCGCGGGGGAAAAAGGCUUCGGGAACGUGGCUCCCUCGGGAGUGUUAUAGCCCGUUGCGUAAUACCCUGCGGUGGACUGAGGACCGCGCAUCUGCAAGGAUGCUGGCGUAAUGGUCACCAGCGACCCGUCUUGAAACACGGACCAAGGAGUCGUCUUCGUAUGCGAGUGUUCGGGUGUCAAACCCCUACGCGUAAUGAAAGUGAACGCAGGUGAGAGCUUCGGCGCAUCAUCGACCGAUCCUGAUGUUCUCGGAUGGAUUUGAGUAAGAGCAUAC